This 87-nucleotide microRNA precursor is filed under the name Otolemur garnettii (small-eared galago). Its description in RNAcentral is "miRNA (ENSOGAG00000030357.1)". The record is from RNAcentral. Lineage: Eukaryota; Metazoa; Chordata; Mammalia; Primates; Galagidae.
UUUGGGAGGCUGAGGUAGGAAGAUUGCUUGAGCCCAGGAAUUUGAGAUCAGCCUGGGCAACAUAGUGAGACCUCAUCUCUACAAAAA